GACGAACGUUGGCGGCGUGCUUAAUACAUGCAAGUCAACUGAAGCAGUGGUAGCAAUAUCGCUGUGGAGGUGGCGCACGGGUGAGCAACACGUAGGUAAUCUGCCUUCAGGUCUGGCAUAACUCCGGGAAACCGGGGCUAAUAGCAGAUGAUGCAGCGGCUCGACAUCGAGACAGUUGUUAAAGCUAUGGCGCCUGAAGAUGAGCCUGCGUCUGAUUAGCUAGUUGGCGGGGUAACGGCCCACCAAGGCAACGAUCAGUAGCUGGUCUGAGAGGAUGAUCAGCCACACUGGAACUGAGACACGGUCCAGACUCCUACGGGAGGCAGCAGUAAGGAAUAUUGCUCAAUGGGAGAAAUCCUGAAGCAGCAACGCCGCGUGAGGGACGAAGGGCUUUUGCUUGUAAACCUCUGUAGUGAGAGAAAAAAAUCCCAAUCUUUGGGACAUGAUGGUAUCUCAAAAGUAAGCCCCGGCUAACUACGUG
This 481-nucleotide ribosomal RNA is filed under the name uncultured bacterium. RNAcentral's name for it is "partial 16S ribosomal RNA". It matches the Rfam family "Bacterial small subunit ribosomal RNA", at positions 28 to 507 of the family's 1533-position model. The record is from RNAcentral.